RNAcentral lists this long non-coding RNA (503 nucleotides) under Pan troglodytes (chimpanzee). RNAcentral's name for it is "long non-coding RNA NONPTRT015027". Lineage: Eukaryota; Metazoa; Chordata; Mammalia; Primates; Hominidae. The record is from RNAcentral.
UGCGUCUCGGGACAAAUUCCUUUCCCUCUAUCAAUACGUUUUAUUUUUUCACGGAGGGGAGGGGACUCAUUUUGCCAAGAAUUUAUUGUGCAUCGUUUCUGAUUCAGCAGGUCUACAGUCGAAACCAGGAAUUAGCAGCUUUAACAAGUGCCACAAGUGAUCGGAUACCGGUGGUCCCAGGACCACACCUCGAGAAAGCCCCGCAGAGAGAUGAGUGCAUGGAAAGAGCCAACUGAGAGGUGAAGCUUAAACAAAUGUGAGGCAGAAAAAUCUAUUAAUGAGGCACUAAUGAGAAGAUGGAAUCAAACUCCCUGCAAAUACACACACACACACACGUGGGAAACUUCUGGCUUUUUUUUUUUUUUAAAGAAAACCCUGAGGAGCAAGCUAACAAAAUAUCAAUAAAGUUGGAGAAACUGGGGCCGGGCGAGGUGGCUCAUGCCUGUAAUCCCAGCACUUUGGGAGGCCAAGGCGGGUGGAUCAUUUGAGGUCAGGGGUUUGAG